Molecule: ribosomal RNA, 454 nt
Filed under: uncultured eukaryote
Lineage: Eukaryota
Description: SSU rRNA
Rfam family: Eukaryotic small subunit ribosomal RNA
Source: RNAcentral
UCUUUUAGAACUGCGAAUGGCUCAUUAAAACAGUUAUAGUUUAUUUGAUAUUGCAUUUUACAUGGAUAACCGUAGUAAUUCUAGAGCUAAUACAUGCGUUACGCCUUUCUUAUGGUGAGGCAGUAUUUAGAUACUAAACAAUAUUCCUUAGGGUCUAUUUGAUGAUUCAUUCUAACUAGUUUAUCGGAUCGCGGUUUUUCCGCGACAGAUCAUUCGAGUUUCUGCCCCAUCAGCUUGAUGGUAGUGUAUUGGACUACCAUGGCUUUUACGGGUAACGGGGGAUUAGGGUUCGACACCGGAGAGGGAGCCUGAGAAACGGCUACCACUUCUACGGAAGGCACCAGGCGCGUAAAUUACCCAAUCCUAAUUCAGGGAGGUAGUGACAAGAAAUAAUAGACCGGCUUACGCCGGGUUUACAAUGAGCCUAAUUUACACAACUUAGUGAGGAUCCAUU